GACGAACGCUGGCGGCGUGCUUAACACAUGCAAGUCGAACGGAAAGGCCCUUCGGGGUACUCGAGUGGCGAACGGGUGAGUAACACGUGGGUGAUCUGCCCUGCACUUUGGGAUAAGCCUGGGAAACUGGGUCUAAUACCGAAUAGGACCACGCGCUUCAUGGUGUGUGGUGGAAAGCUUUUGCGGUGUGGGAUGGGCCCGCGGCCUAUCAGCUUGGUGGUGGGGUAAUGGCCUACCAAGGCGACGACGGGUAGCCGGCCUGAGAGGGUGACCGGCCACACUGGGACUGAGAUACGGCCCAGACUCCUACGGGAGGCAGCAGUGGGGAAUAUUGCACAAUGGGCGCAAGCCUGAUGCAGCGACGCCGCGUGAGGGAUGACGGCCUUCGGGUUGUAAACCUCUUUCAAUAGGGACGAAGCGAAAGUGACGGUACCUAUAGAAGAAGCACCGGCCAACUACGUG
RNAcentral lists this ribosomal RNA (462 nucleotides) under uncultured bacterium. Its description in RNAcentral is "partial 16S ribosomal RNA". It matches the Rfam family "Bacterial small subunit ribosomal RNA", at positions 28 to 507 of the family's 1533-position model. The record is from RNAcentral.